This 289-nucleotide long non-coding RNA is filed under the name Mytilus galloprovincialis (Mediterranean mussel). The record is from RNAcentral. Lineage: Eukaryota; Metazoa; Mollusca; Bivalvia; Mytilida; Mytilidae.
UUUUAUUUCUUUUUUUUAUAUAUCUUUUAGUUUUCAAUUUUAGUGUUGCUAAGUCAGCUGUCACAUGUUUGGUUAUUUUAAUUUUUUUGUUUACUGUAUUUGAUUGACAAACCCCGGAAUUAUAUACUUGUCCGUUUCCAGAUUUGAUCUGGUUUUAAUAUUUUUCCACACUUCCUGUUUAUUUAUGGCAGCCAUUGUUUGUCAAAAAAUGUUCAAUAUGUUUCAACUUGGAUUUACACAUUACUUGUUGGCGAUUUUUGACAUAAAGCUAGCAGUUGAAUAAAAUAAA